GACCUGAUGAUGUAGUGGUAGCAUGCCUGCUUAUUUUAAAAGUCAAAUUGGUUGCCUCAGCAGGAGCCCCCGGUUCGAACCCGGGCCAGGUCA
Molecule: non-coding RNA, 93 nt
Organism: Mycena leptocephala
Lineage: Eukaryota; Fungi; Basidiomycota; Agaricomycetes; Agaricales; Mycenaceae
Source: the annotation of a GenBank genome assembly